This is a long non-coding RNA of Physeter macrocephalus (sperm whale), 7848 nucleotides long. RefSeq lists it as uncharacterized. NCBI's taxonomy places the organism in Eukaryota, Metazoa, Chordata, Mammalia, Artiodactyla, Physeteridae. The record is from RefSeq and is a predicted model, not a curated record. The transcript has 4 exons.
GGCUUUUGGUUUGUCUUAGAGUGUGUGUGUGUGUGUGUGUGUGUGUGUGUGUGUGUGUGUGUUUAAGCUUGGUGGUGAAAAAGUUAUUUUGUAGUAGAAAGUCCUUGCCUUAUCAUUACUUUGCUGAUUUUUCCCUGGUGACCAGGAAGCUCAGAGCUGAAUUUAGGGUCCAUACAAUCCCACCCUGGUUCUGUUGCAAUGAUCUUUCGGUAAUUCUCACGUCUUUUUGGGUUCACAGAUCUCUAUGGGAAUUUGAUGGAAGCAAAGAGGAAUCCCUCAGGAAGCAUUCCUAUCUGCCCACAAAACAUAGGCAGAGAGUGGAUUCUGAUCACUCCCUUUGGAACUCUUCACCUACCAUAUUUUACAUUUUAUUUGUGUUACUUUCUGGUGCCCCCAGUGCUGACGCACCCAGGACUUCAAGAAACAGAGGAGAUGCUGACAAGCAUUGGAAGGGUUUAUUUGUUCUCAUGCAAAGCGGGGAGAGGCCACAGGAUUCUUGUCCAUCAGAUUCCAGUAGCAUUUACUGCUUGUUCUGUUUAUCUGUUACUAAAGCUAAAUUCAAUAGUCUACUGAGUACUUCCCAUGUAGAAGGCUUUGCUCUGAUCAGAAUCCUAUAUUGCUUGAUUCAUCAUUUUCAGAUUGUUCAUCUCUAUAUGUGUUGUACCCCUUAUGGAAUGGGAUCACUUGUGAUACAUGCAUCCUCCAACCAUCCAGCACAUUGGAGUCGACAGCUAAAUGUCCAUGCUUAAGUCAACUCCCCCUGGCUAGAGCUCUGGUAUAACAUAGUGGUGAGUCAAACACAUAAUUAUAAAAGUUAUACAUACCCAGUUUAAAGAGUUUGGGAAUACAUAAAAUAUAAAUUUACUUAUAAUCCUACCAUCCAGUGAUAACUUCUAUUAAUAUUUUAGUACAUUUUAUUUUAACCUUCUUUUAUCUAUGUCUCUAUUUAUCAAAUAAGGAACCAUCUAUGUGCAAAGUUUUACACUUCACAUUUUCCCAUGCCAUUACAAAUUUUGAAAACAUAAUGCUGUAUAAUAUUCCAUUAUAUUGAUGAACCAUCUAAUUUAUCAAUUUCCUUAUUAGAUACAUAGGCUGCUGUCAAGUUUUCCACUAUUACAAAAAUUAUUGUAAUGAGAACUUUUUGUACAUAUGUCUACAUGUCUGCAUGCCUACAUCUCUGAUUAUUUCCCUUCAAUGUGUUCAUGGAAUUUAAAUUACUAUUCAAAGGGUACAGAACUUCUAGUUAUUGGUUUGUAUUACCAGAUUGUUGUCAGAAAGGAUUAUCCUUUCUAUCCCAUCAGAAGAGAAGAAUGCCUGGUUUAUUAUUCCUACACUAACAUUAAUGAUCUUUUUCAACAUUCACAAAUUUGAUUAGUGCAGAUGAGUUUCAGUUUUGCCUUUCCAUAUUUCUUUGAUCAUUAGUGAGCUUAAACAUUUUUAUAGGGCCUCCCUGGUGGCGCAGUGGUUGCGCGUCCGCCUGCCGAUGCAGGGGAACCGGGUUCGCGCCCCGGUCUGGGAGGAUCCCACAUGCCGCGGAGCGGCUGGGCCCGUGAGCCAUGGCCGCUGGGCCUGCGCGUCCGGAGCCUGUGCUCCGCAACGGGAGAGGCCACGGCAGAGGAAGGCCCGCAUACCACAAAAACAAAAAAAAAAAAAACAAAACAAAAAAAAAAACAAAAAAAAAAACAUUUUUAUAUAUUUAUGAGAAACAUUAUUUCUUCUCUGAAUUAUCUGUUGAUGUUUUUGACCAUUUAAAAAAAUGGAGUGUUAGUAUUUUUCCUAUUGGUGUGCUACAGAUGCAUUAUUGAAGGUUUCAAAAACCAUUUUAAAAUCAACUGAAUAUUUUUAUUUUUUUAUGCCACAUCAUCCACGGCCACCUUAGAAGAAAGACCAAUUCCAGACGCAAAGAGCAGUUCCUUCGGUUAUUUUGGGUUACUGAAUCAUUUCUUCUUUGCAUAAAGAAUGCACAAGAAGGGCUUCCCUGGUGGCGCAGUGGUUGAGAGUCUGCCUGCCGAUGCAGGGGACGCGGGUUCGUGCCCCGGUCCGGGAAGAUCCCACAUGCCGCGGAGCGGCUAGGCCCGUGAGCAAUGGCCGCUGCGCCUGCGCGUCCGGAGCCUGUGCUCUGCAGCGGGAGAGGCCACAACAGUGAGAGGCCCGCGUACCGAAAAAAAAAAAAAAAAAAAAAAGAAUGCACAAGAAAAUGUGAGUGCAGUGUUUUCCUCAACGCACUUGCUUUCCAUUAAGUGGAUCUUUUGUGCUGAAACGGAUUUACAGACCCACCAAAUCAGAGGAUGCCGCUGGCAGAAAGAUGAGCCUGGUCUGGUGUUAAUGCAAGAAGAUCCCUGUGGUACAGACGCAGGAAGUUGGACCAUACGGAGAAUUUUCUACCUCUGCCUUCUUUCCUUCCUUGUUCCUUUCUUUUUACUUUUUUGUAAUUGUAAGGUGUCAGCAAUGGCUUGACUCGUUAGACGAUACAUAUUUUUCAGAAAGUCUCUGUUUUUUUCAUUUCCCUCAGGUAAUAUAGAUAACUGAAAGCAUUGAAAGAAUAAAGACAUUUUUUGAAAUCCAUUCAUAAGAUUCGCAAGAGGAAUUCAUCACAGAAACUUCAAUCAUUCUUAAAAAACAAAAAAACAGACUUCAACAACUCCCUUGAGAUAGGUGUUAGUAUUAUCUUGAUUUUACUUACAGAAGAGGCUUAGAGAAAUUAAGCAAUUUGCUCAAAGUCAACAGCCAGGAAAGCAACGACACCAAAACUUGGACCCAGUUCUGCUGAUGCCAAAGUGCCAGUUCCAGUCUAUACUACUCCACGAAGCUAGUUAGUUAUAGUUCUUAAUUACAUGUGAUCAGAAAGCUUGUAUCAGAUCUAUGAGGCAGGUGCUGUAGGAAACUGGGCACAGUGUUGGGACAUCUGACAAAGUAUUGAACCAUGGGGCCAGGAGACUCAGCAAAUUCGUGAAUGAGAGAGAAUCUUUAAUGGGGGUCAGAGUGACCAUCUUCCUGGCAAAAUGGCAAAAGGGAAAAUUGGACACACUGGUAUAGAAAGACAAGGGAUGGUUAGAGAAGGAAUCAAGGUGGUUUCUCUUCCUCAAAGACUCUAGGGGCUCCACAUUUGAGUCUGUUUCAGAAUAAUUGUGAAAAGCUGUGGAGUUUUUAGGAUGAUGGGGGAAGAAGAGCUGUCCCCAGGAAGAUGGAAUUGAGCCAGGUGAGGCUCUAUCAAGGUGUAGAAAUAAGGACCCAGGAGCAGGGAGCUGGCCUUCGGGAAUGGUGGGGCUUGAAGGAGGAAGGCACAGCAAUAGGGGAAUGGAUGUUCCUCUCUCAUGAGCUGUGUGAUGAAUUGUUCUCUUAAUCAAGUUGCCAUCAUAACUGCAAAGAGUGCUCUCAAGAACUGGGAUGUAGAAGAGGGGAAAGAGUGCUUUCUGGUUUGGUGCAGCAGAUCCUCUAAGAGAGAGGCUUUCAUACUUUUUUGGAUUAUGACUCACAGCAAGGAGUACCUUUUCUCUCAUAAGCCGGUAACAUAUACAUUUCUAUGAAACUGAAGCAAAAUUUCAGGGGACAAUGCUUACCCUUACUAUGCAAGAUACAUGCUGAUAUUUUCUAUUCUCUUCUGUUUCAUUUGAGCAAAAUUGCUGGCACCUCUCACAAAACUGAUUUCUCAAUCCUUGAAAGGGUCAUGACUUACUGAGUGAAAAAUCAGUUCUGAGUUGCACCAUGUGUCAACAAACAGAAUGUCCACAGAAGCUAUCAUUCGGUUCUUACAAACCACAAUCAACAGCAUGGAAGAAGUUGCAUGCAGAAUUUUUUCCAAGGCAAAGAGAUAAAAAAGCAAGGUUUUAAUUCUGGUUAGCCUGUGUCCUUAUAGCCUGCUACUAACUUCCACUGCAGUGGAUUUUCAGAUUGUCCAGAAUGUGAUUCUGUAAGGGGGGAUUGGAAACAUGUUCUGAAUAUGUGCAGAAGUUUCCUGAGUACCAUUUAAGUUCAGUCGUGCUAAGCCUGAGAUAGGGCGUCAUCCCUCGCAAGCUUCCCAGGACCCCUUGGCUGUGCACACAAAGAGAACCCGGCUUUUCUUGUUUGGGCCUUUGCUCCUUCCUAUUUGAUUGAAUCUGAAGAGGAACUGUUUGCCUUAGGCCGUACAUCCUGAAUCACAAUCAGGAUGCUGCUGGCACAGAAAAGCUGCUCCCACCCUUGCCUGAAAUAACUGAACAGGGAAGCAGAGUUCCUCUCAUCCCCAGCCUUAAAGCAAGAGGCUCAUAAUUUAUGGUGUGCUGGCAAUACAUCAGAAGUCAGUUCAGUCACUUACAGUAAAAUCAAGGAGGGCAGAACAAUGAAUAUAAAGUGAGAUUAAAACACCUCGUUAAGGGACAAAUUGUUCAGUGGACCCCAGAAUAACGAUGCUUUGGUCUUUGUUAGCCGGAGUCCAGUGGCCUUCAGAGAUGCUUCCUUGUCUGCAGGAUAUGAAAAAAGCUUGUUCUUACAGGUCUGAUAUUUGGUGAAAUCAGAAGAGUGCAAAGGAAAAACGCUAUGGCUGCCUGCAGGAGCCACUUCUGGGAGCCAGGAGGUUGCCAUAGAGACGUCAUGGGGCAGAGGAGAGAUGAGGGGCCUGGAGAGACUGGCCGUGUGACACUUGCCAUCCCCUGACUUUCAGUGGCACUUGGCUGGGUCCACGAUAUGGAAGAUAUUCCAUAAAUCUUUGUUGGUUAGUUAUUUGGAAUGAAUGUCCAGAAAAUGCUGAAGAAUACCUGAGGAGACAAAAGGGAGUGAUGGAGUGAUUAAAUAUGUCAUUACUGCCUUCUUUGCUAUUUAUAAGAUUUCUUUUAACCUGUGGUAUUAUUUGCUUAGAAAGUUCCAGAUUGUAUUAACCAUGUUCACAUUUUCUCUCUGAUCCCUCCUUCUAACCCUUGCUCUCCAUUCCCCCAACAUUUAUUGUAAAAAGGUGUUCUUUUUUUUUUUUUUUUUGCUGUAUGCGGGCCUCUCACUGCUGUGGCCUCUCCCGUUGCGGAGCACAGGCUCCGGAUGCGCAGGCUCAGCGGCCAUGGCUCACGGGCCCAGCCGCUCCACAGCAUGUGGGAUCUUCCCGGACCGGGGCAUGAACCCAUAUCCCCUGCAUCAGCAGGCAGACUCUCAACCACUGCACCACCAGGGAAGCCCAAAAGGUGUUCUUUUAAAGACUUUUUAAAAGAAAUGUAAUUAUCCAUGGCUCAGUGUCACUUUUAAAGUUGUCCCUUGGUACUUUUUGGAGGCUGCAAAAUAUGUUUAAUUUCCAAACCUUCUUGGAAGUCACCCAAUAAAUUCAGGCAUGGAAGGCAUGGUCAGAGUACAGGGUGAACGAAGAGAUCGUGCUGUGAGUUGGCCAGUAUCGUUUAUUAUAGGCAAUCCAGCAGGUGCGUAAAUAACUCCUACUGGGAGGUUUUCCCCUCAGCUUCCCAAAAUGGCUCCAUUUCAACAUCCAGCAGUGACACCAUAUUCUCAGAAUUGGAUUAGCUAAGCACUGGGCAAAGUAAAAUCCACUAGAACGAUCCAAAGGAAAGCUUUGCUCCCACACCGACAGCAUUAGUAUGAAAUAGGCUUUUGUUUAUUACAAAUGGUAGGAUUCAUCAACUAAUUGAAAAGUCUAGUUCUUGGAAGUGCACAUAUACAUCUCAUGUUAUAUAGUUCAAGUCUAUGUAUGUCAUUUUUGAGUCCUUACUAAGUAUCAGAGCCUGUACUGGUGCUGUGGAGGGUAGUCAGAUGAGUGCAACCUCGCCUUGUCUUUGAGAGUUCACGCGUUUGUUGGGAGACAGGGGCAGAUAUAUCAUCUCAUCAUGAAACAGAUUGGGAAAUUAUAAAUGCAAGCAAAAUGCCAUGGGGUUAGAAAGGAAAACUUGGAGAUGCCUCUUGGUAGAGGAAGAAUUAAAACUAGGCAUUCUUGCAUUUAUUUUUUACACAGACAAUGAUUGAAUGCUUUAUAUCAUGAACUCCCCAAGAGGGCCAAUUUUAGUUGUUAAUUAUUUACAGAAGAAUAAAGUUCAACAGGCAGAAAAGGGAAGGGAGGGCACUCCAGGGAGUAGGAGUUUAGUUGAGGCCUUGAGGCUACAGGGCCUGCCCAAGAGAUGGGGAGGAGUCGGGUGUGGCUCUGACCCAGGAUGUGCAUAUGGGAAUGGGGGAGGGGUGCUGUAGUGAAGGUAAGGUUGGAAGAUAGGUGAGGGUAAAACUGCAGAGGGUUCUGAACGCCCAGCAAAGGAACAAUAAGUUUACAUUUAAAUCACAUUUUUACAAAUUGAGUCAUUCUAAGUUUACCGGGAUUGCUCCCUUUUUGGUUUUAACAAUUGGAAGUGCGCUGUCUGGGAAUCAGACCACACUUUGAAUUUGAGCUGUGUCAGAUGAAUAACUGUGGACAAGUUACUUAACCUUUCUGACACUCAGUUUUCUCAUCUGGGAAAAUGGGGUUUGUGCAGAUUAAGUGAAAAGACAUAGGUGAAAUGUCCACCAAGGACAUUUGUCCAUCUUUAGUAGGUACUCAAUAAGGGUUAGCCUCUUCUCUUUCCCUCCCUUCCCUUCCUCUUUCUCCCCUCCCCUUUCCAGAGGAAGGCUCUAAUGAACAACACAUUUCAGUAAGAUCACUGAGUCCUCAAGCUUGGUUGCUAAGUUUUUUUCUCAAUUUUUAUCCCAGUGGUUCUCAAACCAGACCAGUCAUCAGAAUCACCUAGAGGUUGUGUUAAAUCACAGAUUGCUGGGUCCCACCCCAGAGUUUCUGAUUCAGUAGGUUUGGGGGGGCCUGAGAAUUUGCAUUUCUAACACAUUCCCAGAUGUUGCUGAUGUGGGGAGUGCACUUUGAGAACCCCAACCUUAUCCCUGGCAUAGACCCUGUUAUUUGCUUACCCAAGAGCUAUCCCCUCAUCCCUGCUGACAGAGCCCUGAGUUGUUCUGGUAGUAUAGAAAGAUUCUUUGAUUUCAGUGUUAGGUUUCUACCUCAGUGCCAGAAGAUGAUGAUGAUGAUGGGUCUAAACCAAUCAUGGUAAUCUCAAUUCCCUUGACCAUUGAUUGAUCUGAAUGUACCAUGUAGCUCAAGAGAUGUAAGGGUGGAUCAACUGACAACUCACAAAGAGAAGGGCUUCUGCCCCUUGCACCUUCUUCCUGAAUGUGUAUAUACUGCUGCAGUUACACUAGCCAUCUUGGGACCAAGAGACGACAAGCAAGAGGAAGAGAACCAACAUGGCAAGGACGUUAGGGCAGAGAUACAGGAAGAACCUGGAUCCCAAAGGCAUCAUUGAGCUGCAUGCCCUGGAUUCCUACCUCAACUUGUUCUCAGUGAGAAAAAUACAUUUUCAUUUGUUGAAGUCACCAUAAUCUAUUAUUUUGUUACUUGCAGACAAACACACUCCUGACUGAUACAAUCUGUUCUAGUUCUCUGAUGGCAUAGUUAAUAUUGACUUCUUUUAUAGAUGAAGACACUGAGGUGCAGAAAAAUGAAGGUGACAUAAUAUAUAGUGGUAGAGCUUAGAUUCCAACUCAAGCUUCCUGAUUAAAAGUUCUUGGCAUUUUCCCACUGACCUAUAGCUCAGCCAUUCUAAUUAUUUCUUCCAACUAAUAUAAAUAAAUAAAAAUAAAUAAAUUUCUCUUUUUCCUUCUAUUAAGGAAGAAAAAAUUGAUAACUCCCUAUCUGUUCUGAGCUUUACUUGUGUCUCUGCUCUCAGCCAUCUGACUUCUGAUUGUUAUUUAUUAAUUAUCUAAAUAACUAAUUCCUUCCACAUUUACAUAUAGAUGUACUAUAUAUAACGUUUGAACUUGAUCUUUUUUGUAAUGGACAAUCUUACUUUUGUCCAGAUUUUGUUCCUUACAGAAAGAAGCAGUCAAAUUAACUUUGUGUCUUAACUU